GACGAACGCUGGCGGCGUGCUUAACACAUGCAAGUCGAGCGGUAAGGCCCUUUCGGGGGUACACGAGCGGCGAACGGGUGAGUAACACGUGGGUGACCUGCCCUCAGCUCUGGGAUAAGCCUGGGAAACCGGGUCUAAUACUGGAUAUGACUCCAUGACGCAUGUUGUGGGGUGGAAAGCCUUGUGCGGCUGAGGAUGGGCCCGCGGCCUAUCAGCUUGUUGGUGGGGUGANGGCCUACCAAGGCGACGACGGGUAGUCGGCCUGAGAGGGCGACCGGCCACACUGGGACUGAGACACGGCCCAGACUCCUACGGGAGGCAGCAGUGGGGAAUCUUGCGCAAGUGGGCGAAAGCCUGACGCAGCGACGCCGCGUGAGGGAUGACGGCCU
Molecule: ribosomal RNA, 389 nt
Filed under: uncultured bacterium
Lineage: Bacteria
Description: bacterial SSU rRNA
Rfam family: Bacterial small subunit ribosomal RNA
Source: RNAcentral